RNAcentral lists this ribosomal RNA (512 nucleotides) under uncultured bacterium. Its description in RNAcentral is "partial 16S ribosomal RNA". It matches the Rfam family "Bacterial small subunit ribosomal RNA", at positions 28 to 507 of the family's 1533-position model. The record is from RNAcentral.
GAUGAACGCUGGCGGCGUGCCUAAUACAUGCAAGUCGAACGAAACUUCUUUAUCACCGAGUGCUUGCACUCACCGAUAAAGAGUUGAGUGGCGAACGGGUGAGUAACACGUGGGCAACCUGCCCAAAAGAGGGGGAUAACACUUGGAAACAGGUGCUAAUACCGCAUAACCAUAGUUACCGCAUGGUAACUAUGUAAAAGGUGGCUAUACUACCGCUUUUGGAUGGGCCCGCGGCGCAUUAGCUAGUUGGUAGGGUAAAGGCUUACCAAGGCAAUGAUGCGUAGCCGAAUUGAGAGGUUGAUCGGCCACAUUGGGACUGAGACACGGCCCAAACUCCUACGGGAGGUAGCAGUAGGGAAUCUUCCACAAUGGGCGAAAGCCUGAUGGAGCAACGCCGCGUGGGUGAAGAAGGUCUUCGGAUCGUAAAACCCUGUUGUUAGAGAAGAAAGUGCGUGAGAGUAACUGUUCACGUUUCGACGGUAUCUAACCAGAAAGCCACGGCUAACUACGUG